AGCGAACGCUGGCGGCAGGCCUAACACAUGCAAGUCGAACGAACCUUUCGGGGUUAGUGGCGGACGGGUGAGUAACACGUGGGAACGUGCCUUUAGGUUCGGAAUAACUCAGGGAAACUUGUGCUAAUACCGAAUGUGCCCUUCGGGGGAAAGAUUAAUCGCCUUUAGAGCGGCCCGCGUCUGAUUAGCUAGUUGGUUGAGGUAAUGGCUCACCAAGGCGACGAUCAGUAGCUGGUCUGAGAGGAUGAUCCGCCACAUUGGGACUGAGACACGGCCCAAACUCCUACGGGAGGCAGCAGUGGGGAAUCUUGCGCAAUGGGCGAAAGCCUGACGCAGCCAUGCCGCGUGAAUGAUGAAGGUCUUAGGAUUGUAAAAUUCUUUCACCGGGGACGAUAAUGACGGUACCCGGAGAAGAAGCCCCGGCUAACUUCGUG
This 434-nucleotide ribosomal RNA is filed under the name uncultured bacterium. Its description in RNAcentral is "partial 16S ribosomal RNA". It matches the Rfam family "Bacterial small subunit ribosomal RNA", at positions 29 to 507 of the family's 1533-position model. The record is from RNAcentral.